RNAcentral lists this ribosomal RNA (1416 nucleotides) under uncultured bacterium. RNAcentral describes it as "bacterial SSU rRNA". It matches the Rfam family "Bacterial small subunit ribosomal RNA". The record is from RNAcentral.
GUACGCUGGCGGCACGCCUAACACAUGCAAGUCGAACGAAGUAGCAAUACUUAGUGGCAGACGGGUGAGUAACAUGUGGGUAUCUGCCCUUUGGCCUGGAAUAACACGAGGAAACUUGUGCUAAUACUGGAUAAGUCUUUACGGAGAAAGCUUUAUGCACCAUUGGAUGAGCCCGCACUUGAUUAGUUUGUUGGUAGGGUAAUGGCCUACCAAGACUUUGAUCAAUAGCUGAUUUGAGAGGAUGAUCAGCCACAUUGGGACUGAGACACGGCCCAAACUCCUACGGGAGGCAGCAGUGGGGAAUCUUGCACAAUGGAGGAAACUCUGAUGCAGCGAUGCCGCGUGAGUGAAGAAGGCCCUUGGGUUGUAAAGCUCUUUCGUCGGGGAAGAAAAUGACUGUACCCGAAUAAGAAGGUCCGGCUAACUUCGUGCCAGCAGCCGCGGUAAUACGAAGGGACCUAGCGUAGUUCGGAAUUACUGGGCUUAAAGAGUUCGUAGGUGGUUGAAAAAGUUGGUGGUGAAAUCCCAGAGCUUAACUCUGGAACUGCCAUCAAAACUUUUCAGCUAGAGUUUGAUAGAGGAAAGCAGAAUUUCUAGUGUAGAGGUGAAAUUCGUAGAUAUUAGAAAGAAUACCAAUUGCGAAGGCAGCUUUCUGGAUCAUUACUGACGCUGAGGAACGAAAGCAUGGGUAGCGAAGAGGAUUAGAUACCCUCGUAGUCCAUGCCGUAAACGAUGUGUGUUAGACGUUGGAAAUUUAUUUUCAGUGUCGCAGCGAAAGCGAUAAACACACCGCCUGGGGAGUACGACCGCAAGGUUAAAACUCAAAUGAAUUGACGGGGACCCGCACAAGUAGUGGAGCAUGUGGUUUAAUUCGAAGAUACGCGCAGAACCUUACCAACACUUGACAUGUUCGUCGCGACUUUAAGAGAUUAAAGUUUUCGGUUCGGCCGGACGAAACACAGGUGCUGCAUGGCUGUCGUCAGCUCGUGUCGUGAGAUGUUGGGUUAAGUCCCGCAACGAGCGCAACCCUCACUUUUAGUUGCCAUCAUUAAGUUGGGCACUCUGAAAGAACUGCCAGUGAUAAGCUGGAGGAAGGUGGGGAUGACGUCAAGUCCUCAUGGCCCUUACGUGUUGGGCUACACACGUGCUACAAUGGUAUCUACAACAGGAAGCGAAACAGCGAUGUUAAGCAAAUCCUUAAAAGAUACCUCAGUUCGGAUUGCACUCUGCAACUCGAGUGCAUGAAGCUGGAAUUACUAGUAAUCGUGGAUCAGCGUGCCACGGUGAAUGCGUUCCCGGGUCUUGUACACACCGCCCGUCACACCAUGGGAGUUGGUUCUACCUUAAGGCAAGGUUUUAUACCCUUGACCACGGUAUAGUCAGCGACUGGGGUGAAGUCAUAACAAGGUAACCGUA